ACCACCACCACUAUAUUCAGGAAAAUCCAUAUUCUUUGCUCACACUUUUUCUCUAAUCCCAGCAUCCAUUGGAUUAGGAGAGUGAGUAGAAGGAUACAGCACCUUGACCUCAACACGUUAUUUACUUACUAACGGUGGUUCCUUUCAGAUUUUUAUCUCUGGAAGCUUGGCAGCACCAGACCUGUGACUCAUAUCCCACCUGUGAGAGAAGCCGUCCCUUCCCCUGUUUCUGUAAUCACCAUGAUUUGUUUUAGGCAGUAAAUAUCUGAUACAACACAGUUUGUAAUUCUCCCCCCACAAGUGAACUCGCACUCUGCAGGUUGCCUUAUCUCUUGCACGUACAGUUCUGCUUUGUCACAUUCUCAUUUUGAUCAUACAAACUUCACCUUUGAGAACUGACUUAGUGGAAGAGCAGCACUGCUGCUCACCGCUGGCAGCUGUGGAUCUCAGAAGGCACAGCUUUGCCUGGGCUGCAAGAGACAACACUGCAACCAUUGGUAGUGCUGUGUUAGAACCUUUUCCUUUGGCCUCUUCUGCCACAGCCCUCUCUGCUUUGCUACAAAUACUCCACAGCCCAUGGUCACCAUCACCACCGAACAGCACCUCAUGUCAGCCACUGAUGGUGCUUUCCCAAGCUGCAUUUCAGAUCUGCAGACACCACCUCGGCUCAGAGAACUGAUGACUCUGAACUUCCCUUGACAUCACCUUCUGCCCCAAGAAGCUCUGGCAGCGCAGGCAGGUUGGUACAGAGCUCAGUACACGAUACCUCCAUCUGCAGCAGAGGCCAUGCCCUUUCGCUCUUAUUUUUGCAGACAAGCACAAGGUUAAGCUUUUGGUGAGCAUCUGCUCAUGCAGCACUGUGCCUUAACUCAGACGCAUGAGCGAUGACACAGAGUUACUUUGGGCUCAGCUUUGUUCCCUUGCCUUGAAGGAAUGCCCUGCACAUGAAGACCUUCAAAACCAACAGCAAAGCUCUUCCAAUCCGAUUCUGGAAUUCAUUAACAGUUGAAAUGAGAAUAAUACUUAGCAAAUCCUUAAUGAUUUUGUGAUUCUAUGAAAUACUCUGUACGAAAGCCUCCUAGAAAAGCUGAGGGCUUAUACAACACCUGACAUAUUAAAGACUGCUCCAUGUCAGCUCUUGGAAAC
This 1146-nucleotide long non-coding RNA is filed under the name Gallus gallus (chicken). RNAcentral's name for it is "lncRNA (ENSGALG00010027017.1)". The record is from RNAcentral. Lineage: Eukaryota; Metazoa; Chordata; Aves; Galliformes; Phasianidae.